This 768-nucleotide long non-coding RNA is filed under the name Rhinopithecus bieti (black snub-nosed monkey). Its description in RNAcentral is "lncRNA (ENSRBIG00000045332.1)". Lineage: Eukaryota; Metazoa; Chordata; Mammalia; Primates; Cercopithecidae. The record is from RNAcentral.
GGGGAGGGGGUCAGGGUUAGAGGACAGACCGUUCAGAAGACCGUUCAGAAGGCAGCGUGAUUGAAGGCAUUUUAAAAAUUAUGUCAGAUCUUUCUCUUCUGCACCGUGGCAAUGUUUCCGGAUGCUUCAUUUUAUUAAAACAAGGGGAGUAGCCUGGAAGAUGAUGGAAGCCUGUAGGAUCCAGAAGUGUCUCUGCUGGGAAGCCAGGGGGUGUCACCAAGACCUGGGAUGGCCUUACUGCAGCUCAGAGAGGCUAAACACUUGUCUGAGGUCACACAGAGCUGCAACCAGAUGUACCAAGGAAGGACGAGAAGAAAGUGAGAACAAGGGGAAUAAAAGAAGGACAUUGAAGACCCUUUCAGACUUGAUCCCAGGGAAAGAGCCCUGGACUGGGAAUACAUGCUAGUUAUAAAACUCUAUAAAUUGAGAACAGCUUGUGAGAACAGAAAGAAAAAAAAGACUGUAAUUUUGAAGAGGUUACAAUCUCAUAAUUACAGAAGAGGAGACUGAAGUCCAGAGAAUACAAAUUCAAAACUGCACCAUGCGAUUGUGUUACGGGUUCAGGUUCACUCCAGGUCUUCUAACGCAUCGGCCAGUGCAGGAGGGAACUGCAGAUAACAAACAAAAUUGCCAUCAACAGUAUGAUGUGUUCACAGCCAAAGAAAUGAAAUGAAAUAAAAUUUCCAAAAGUAAAGAAAAUUAAUUGUAAAAAAAAAGAGAUAGUAUGAUGUAGCUUUAUAAAAAUGAUGAUUAAAGACAUUGCAAGGA